Molecule: ribosomal RNA, 414 nt
Filed under: uncultured microorganism
Description: bacterial SSU rRNA
Rfam family: Archaeal small subunit ribosomal RNA
Source: RNAcentral
GCGCACCAGUCGCGAAACCUCCGCAAUGCGGGCAACCGCGACGGGGGGACCCCCAGUGCCGUGGCAUCGCCACGGCUUUUCCGGAGUGUAAAAAGCUCCGGGAAUAAGGGCUGGGCAAGGCCGGUGGCAGCCGCCGCGGUAAUACCGGCGGCCCGAGUGGUGGCCGCUAUUAUUGGGCCUAAAGCGUCCGUAGCCGGGCCUGUAAGUCCCUGGCGAAAUCCCACGGCUCAACCGUGGGGCUUGCUGGGGAUACUGCAGGCCUUGGGACCGGGAGAGGCCGGGGGUACCCCUGGGGUAGGGGUGAAAUCCUAUAAUCCCAGGGGGACCGCCAGUGGCGAAGGCGCCCGGCUGGAACGGGUCCGACGGUGAGGGACGAAGGCCAGGGGAGCGAACCGGAUUAGAUACCCCUGUAGU